ACCUCAGACUUCGCUUCAGCAUCCUUGACUGCCUGUUGCUCGUAGGCCAGUUGGAUUUUCAGCCACUACAGUUCAGCCUUCUCCUGUCGAAGGGCCAUGGACAGUUCUUCCAUGGUCCCCCUCAAGGAGCGGAGCUUGCCGGAGCCUUGCACCGAAAUGGCUUGGGUUCUCUCGGACAACUGCCUCUGAAGGCGGGCAACCUCAUCGGUCGCCGUCUUGAGCCUCCUUCGAUAGUAGUCUACUUGCCCGCACCAGCCA
This 258-nucleotide long non-coding RNA is filed under the name Elaeis guineensis (African oil palm). RNAcentral's name for it is "long non-coding RNA (EGUI_LNC078158)". The record is from RNAcentral. Lineage: Eukaryota; Viridiplantae; Streptophyta; Magnoliopsida; Arecales; Arecaceae.